CCUACGGGGGGCAGCAGUGGGGAAUAUUGGACAAUGGGGGGAACCCUGAUCCAGCCAUGCCGCGUGUGUGAAGAAGGCCCUCGGGUUGUAAAGCACUUUCAGUGAGGAAGAACGCCUGGUGGUUAAUACCCAUCAGGAAAGACAUCACUCACAGAAGAAGCACCGGCUAACUCCGUGCCAGCAGCCGCGGUAAUACGGAGGGUGCGAGCGUUAAUCGGAAUUACUGGGCGUAAAGCGCGCGUAGGUGGCUUGAUAAGCCGGUUGUGAAAGCCCCGGGCUCAACCUGGGAACGGCAUCCGGAACUGUCAAGCUAGAGCGCAGGAGAGGAAGGUAGAAUUCCGGGUGUAGAGGUGAAAUGCGUAGAGAUCGGGAGGAAUACCAGUGGCGAAGGCGGCCUUCUGGACUGACACUGACACUGAGGUGCGAAAGCGUGGGUAGCAAACAGGAUUAGAUACCCUAGUAGUC
This 465-nucleotide ribosomal RNA is filed under the name Vreelandella stevensii. RNAcentral describes it as "partial 16S ribosomal RNA". It matches the Rfam family "Bacterial small subunit ribosomal RNA", at positions 338 to 795 of the family's 1533-position model. Lineage: Bacteria; Pseudomonadati; Pseudomonadota; Gammaproteobacteria; Oceanospirillales; Halomonadaceae. The record is from RNAcentral.